UACGAAGGUGGCAAGCGUUGUUCGGAUUUACUGGGCGUACAGGGAGCGUAGGCGGUUGGGUAAGCCCUCCGUGAAAUCUCUGGGCCUAACCCGGAAAGUGCGGAGGGGACUGCUCGGCUAGAGGAUGGGAGAGGAGCGCGGAAUUCCCGGUGUAGCGGUGAAAUGCGUAGAGAUCGGGAGGAAGGCCGGUGGCGAAGGCGGCGCUCUGGAACAUUUCUGACGCUGAGGCUCGAAAGCGUGGGGAGCAAACAGG
Molecule: ribosomal RNA, 253 nt
Filed under: uncultured bacterium
Lineage: Bacteria
Description: partial 16S ribosomal RNA
Rfam family: Bacterial small subunit ribosomal RNA
Source: RNAcentral